AAGUGAGAAGCAAAAUUUGCAAUCAGUUUCGACCUGAUCUUAGAUAAUACUUUUAUCCUUACUUU
Molecule: transfer RNA, 65 nt
Filed under: Ephelotermes taylori
Lineage: Eukaryota; Metazoa; Arthropoda; Insecta; Blattodea; Termitidae
Description: tRNA-Arg
Source: RNAcentral